This 347-nucleotide unclassified non-coding RNA is filed under the name soil metagenome. RNAcentral's name for it is "partial contains 5.8S ribosomal RNA, internal transcribed spacer 2, and large subunit ribosomal RNA". The stretch from base 1 to 119 matches the Rfam family "5.8S ribosomal RNA", at positions 35 to 154 of the family's 154-position model. The record is from RNAcentral.
GAUGAAGAACGUAGCAAAAUGCGAUAAGUAAUGCGAAUUGCAGAAUCCGUGAGUCAUCGAAUCUUUGAACGCACAUUGCGCCCUUUGGUAUUCCGAAGGGCAUGCCUGUUCGAGCGUCAUUAUCACCCCUCAAGCCCCGGCUUGGUGUUGGGCUCUCGGUGGUCGUCUCCGACCACCCGUCUCAAAGAUAGUGACGGCGUCCCAGAGGGAACCGGUACGAGGAGCUUUCACGAGCAUGUACGCGGGACGACUCUGCGGGCGACGGUCUUAUUUACUUUAUAUACAAGUGUUGACCUCGGAUCAGGUAGGAAUACCCGCUGAACUUAAGCAUAUCAAUAAGCGGAGGA